Molecule: long non-coding RNA, 2043 nt
Filed under: Medicago truncatula (barrel medic)
Lineage: Eukaryota; Viridiplantae; Streptophyta; Magnoliopsida; Fabales; Fabaceae
Description: lncRNA gene6664
Source: RNAcentral
CUUCGAUCUCUUCAGCCGAACUCCCUCCUCAACUGAAUCUCAAUAUCCAGAGUGAAACUCACAUUACAUUUCACAAUUUUUAAUUCUAUAAGCAUACUGAUUAGUGAUUACUAAUUCGUUUACCACUGCCAGCACAGUAAAAUAUCACAGGGAAGGAUUACAUCAUAACAUAAUGUACCAAACAUGAUGGAUGCAACCAAAUUGUCUCAUUCAUCACCAUUGACGAAACUACACACCACCGAAAACAGACAAUCUAUAGUUCCAUACAAAUACAAAAGUUCACUGAGAGUCAAUGUGUUUUAUUCCUCAUGAUUACUUCCCUUAAGUGACCUUGAUGGCUAGCAUGACCGAUAAAAUCAAUUCUUUUGAGUCCCAUCAGGUUUCUACAUUCAAAUAAAGAGAUAGAAAAGUGUUAGACUGAUGAUGAAGCAAUACACAAAUAACCAAAGUCACCAAAGCAGUAAAACUUAAAUGUGACUAAAUUGAUUUAAGACAAAAGCAAGAAAUAAUUCUAGAACUUUCAAUUUCAGUCAGAUUAUUGAAUCCAUGUAUGAGAUAUUAAUAAAACGUGAACUUGGUGGAAGAUUCAACUACCCCUUAGAUUAGUUAUCUUUGGAAGAUUCAGCUACCCCUUAGAUUAGUUAUCUUAAGUGCACAACUGCACACCCUGAAGAUUAGCUAUAGCAUACAAAAUAUUUAGCAAGAAAAAAAUAUGUGUCGAACAUCAGCAUUUUAAAAGUGAAGAAUUUGGUUGCAGUCGUUUAAGGGCGAAUCAUUUUAUUAAACAUAGCAUUUAGUUGAUAGCAAAAUUGUGGAGAGAUGAAUGUAAGGGUUUGACUCAUUCUGUAAAUAUUCCAGUUGUUUAUAGUGUAAAAGAGGUGGUAGACAACUUGCAAUCCACUCCCCAGAAAGAGAAAGAAAAGGAAGGGUCUAUCUAGUUAGUACCGAGUCUAACAUCCCUUCCUCUUUCCAAAAAGGGUAAGGCAUAAAUUUCUAAAAAAAUGUGACAAAUCACAAAAUAACGUGUUCUGUUUUGAAGAAUGCUAUUGUAAAUACUACUACUCCUGCCUUACCAUUCCAAUUCCAUUUCUAGUUUCACCCAAUUUUUAAAGGAUAAUUCAAUUUCAUUGAAACUUGGGACAAAUUCCCAGUUUCACCAAAAGCUAACUCCACAUUCAAAAGAGUGUGUUUGUAGCUAGAUAAUGACUAAACAAUGAAGGCUUCCCCAUUUAAAAGAGUGUGUUGUCAUCACCACGUGCAAUACCACAUUAAGCAAAUAUAUGUUCAAACCUUGGUAAAAGAAACACAAUUCGAUUUGUCCAAGAACUUAAGAAAGCUAAAAGUGGUGAGACGAAAAAUAACAUCCAUCAUAUUCAUAUCCAAGUUACAGAAUAUUGGGAGCUACUUAAACAAAUUGUCAUUUAGCUGAACAUCUUCCUAAACUUUAAUGCGUGAAAUAAGCGUAAAAAAUUGAAUAAAUUUGAAGAUAUGAAUCAUAGGAACCAUCAUAUGAUACAACUUCAAAUAGCUUCAAAUCUAAAAAAAAAUAUUAAAAUUUGCACUAAACAGAAAUUAACAAAUCCAAAAAUACACCAAAUCAAAAGUUCAUAUUAGAAGUGGUAACUAACACAAUAAUAAUAGAUCACAAAUCUGGUUUUAAUCAGACCCAAAAUAUACAGAAAGAAAUAUUGAAAUCAAUAACCUAAAAACAAAAUAAUUUGGUACCUUGUUAUCGGCAUUAUCUGUAGGUUUCUCCGCCUUACCCUUAUCACCCGCUAGCUUCUGUUUCUCCAACCUUUCCCUCUCCCAUUUCUACACACAAAAAUCAACCGUUUCAGAAGCAAGAAAUUGGAUCUAAAAAAGGAUGAAGAAAAAGGGGGAAAUGAAGUACCUGAAUGUAGACGUUUUCUUUGGCUUGUUCUUCCUCGCUAAGAACCUUACCUUUGCCGCUGAAGAAGCGAGAAGAAGCUCCACGAGAUGUUGAAUCCAUUGAACGAGUCACGAUCCCUCGACUCAGUGCUGAUCUCAUUGCCAUUUUGAACA